RNAcentral lists this non-coding RNA (775 nucleotides) under Hypoponera sauteri. The record is from RNAcentral. Lineage: Eukaryota; Metazoa; Arthropoda; Insecta; Hymenoptera; Formicidae.
UAAAUUAUUACAUGAUUUGAGAAUAGAUAUAAUAAAUUAAAAAUUUAAUAAAAUUUAAAUAAUUUAAUAAAUAAUUAAAAAUAUAAUGUUUAAUAUGAUAUUAAUUAUUAUGAAAAUAAUAAAUAGAAAGUUUUAUUUAAUAUAAAUAAAUUUAGUGCCAGCAAUUGCGGUUAUACUAAAUAUAUGAAUAAUUUAAUAAUUAUUAAUUAAUAAAAGUUAUUAUACAAUAAUUAUAUAUAAUUAGAAUUAAUUUAUUAUUUGAUGAAAUAUUAAUAAUUUAAUGAUAAUUAAAUUAAUUUAUUUAUAAAAUUAUGAAAAUUUAGCAAAUAAAUUAGGAUUAGAUACCCUAUUAUAUAAAAUAAAAUAGAAGAUUAAAAUAUUAAAUGAUAAAUUCAUUAAAAAAUAAAGAAUUUGGGGGAAUUUAUUAAAUUUAAAGGGACUUGUUAUGUAAUUGAUAUUCCACGAUUGGAUAAACUUAAUUAAAUUCUUAUAUAUUGUUGUUAAAAUUAUUUUAAUAGAAAAAUAAUUAUAAUUUUUUUUUAAAAAAAAAUUCAAAUCAAAAUGUAGAAUAAUUAAGUAUAAAUGAGUUACAAUUUAUUUAUGUAUAAUAUAAGUAGAAAUUAAUUUUUAAAAAUUUAUUUGAAAAUGGAUUUAAAAGUAAAAUUAUUUAAUUUAAUAAUUUGAAUAUAUUAAUAAAUUACUACAAAUUGCCCGUCAUUUUCAAUUAAUUUGGAGAAAGUCGUAACAAAGUAAAUAUACUGGAAAGUGUAUUUAG